Molecule: unclassified non-coding RNA, 1481 nt
Filed under: Haliotis rufescens (red abalone)
Lineage: Eukaryota; Metazoa; Mollusca; Gastropoda; Lepetellida; Haliotidae
Description: uncharacterized LOC124144658, transcript variant X3
Rfam family: tRNA (bases 663-734)
Source: RNAcentral
UAGAUGAUGUUCUCCAAUUGCUUUCUUUAUCUCCUCCUGGCGGCCCCAGCCUUAGAAUUGUUCCCUAUGGCAGCAUGCAUAUUUCAACCACCGCUACCGCAACAGCCACCGCCACAGCCACCUCCAGUUCCAGAACCACCAGUGUGUCCACAAGCAGGUCUCCUGAACGAGAAGCUUCAGAACUUAAGUACGACACUCAGUGCCCUUAACUCCGGGCUUGAUUGCGUCUUCAGCAUCAUCGACGAGCAGUGUCCAUGCUUUGAUGCUGGCUCCGCAGACUGCUUCGAAACACAAGUUUCCGACUUCAGAACUGCUUUGCAAGAGCUGAUUGCUGAUGUCGCAAAUGUCACAUCCAGCGUCCCACAAGACUGCCCGGACCGUACUGGUGCGGUCUUCGUGGCUACGUGUGAUGGAACUGAUGUUGCUGUGGUAGAUCCAAAUUGUUUCAUCCAAAACGGCUUCACAACAGACACUAAUGUAACCAGAUGGCCUGUAUAUACCAACGGUGAUACCUAUGGGUUUGACUACUUUAGAAACGACCCGUUUGUCGUUCGAUGUCUCUCCACGCCUGAUGGAACGGAAGUUAUAUUAGGCAGUGAUACUGAUUCUCCACUAACGACGACAGCAAGAGGAACUGGCAUUGCUUACAAUCCUGUCGGGGCGGUCGGGUAGCCUAGUGGUUAAAGCGUUCGCUCGUCACGCCGAAGACCCGGGUUCGAUUCCCGACAUGGGUACAAUGUGUGAAGCCCAUUUCUGGUGUCCCCCGCCGUGAUAUUGCUGGAAUAUUGCUAAAAGCGGCGUAAAACCAUACUCACUCACUCACUACAAUCCUGUCACAGAAGAAGAUUAUGUAGCCAUUUCUUUCGACAACGAGACCCUAAAUGGCAUCUAUGCCUUCAACAGGACCUCCUCUCCAAUAAUUACCUUGGUCUCCUCAUAUGACGGCCCUACUGGACAGAUACAGAUUGUUGGCAGUCUUGUGUACAUGGGUGAUGGUCAGAAGAUCGUGAUAAUACCAACUAUCGGUAACCCAGUGCAAGUGCUGAAGUUUUCAACAUCAAUUCUGUCGUUUCUAGUAACCAAUGAUGGUAGAAUAGUGUUUUGUGAUGACGCUGGCGCCAUUUGGAUAUACGACCCUUCAAACCGAACAUACAGGCAGCUGAGAGAGCCAAAUGAAGAAAAGUUCUGUCAUUCAAUGACAGGCAAUCCCUGCGAGUCCCUUCUCUACGUUGCAAACAGGAACUAUGCAGAUAUUGAGAUCUACAACAUUACAUCAUUUGAAUUAGAUAGAACACUAGACUACACCUUGUCGACUCCAUCUUCAUGUCCGUCCAUUGGGGUUGAUCCAACAUUCUGCUGUCCAUAAGCGGAAUCCGAUGACGUUUGAGCUGAUAUCGGAAGAAGCGUCAUCCAAACAUAAUGGAAUGUAAAAAAACAAAGCGGGGAGAGACAUGACUUUGUCAAUAAACCGUUUUUACACC